This 331-nucleotide ribosomal RNA is filed under the name uncultured Lachnospiraceae bacterium. Its description in RNAcentral is "bacterial SSU rRNA". It matches the Rfam family "Bacterial small subunit ribosomal RNA", at positions 28 to 339 of the family's 1533-position model. Lineage: Bacteria; Bacillati; Bacillota; Clostridia; Lachnospirales; Lachnospiraceae. The record is from RNAcentral.
GAUGAACGCUGGCGGCGUGCCUAACACAUGCAAGUCGAACGGAGAUUAGACGCUGACGAGACUUCGGUCAAAUCUUGUUUAAUCUUAGUGGCGGACGGGUGAGUAACGCGUGGGCAACCUGCCUCGUACCGGGGGAUAGCAGUUGGAAACGACUGAUAAUACCGCAUAAGCGCACGGUAUCGCAUGAUACAGUGUGAAAAACUCCGGUGGUACGAGAUGGGCCCGCGUCAGAUUAGCCAGUUGGCGGGGUAACGGCCCACCAAAGCGACGAUCUGUAGCCGGACUGAGAGGUCGGACGGCCACAUUGGGACUGAGACACGGCCCAAACUCC